UAGGAUUCCUCCAGUUCAGCAGCAAAGGCACAGAUGCCUGCAGUUUGACAAGGUAAUUUAAGAGAUUUAAUAGAAGACUUUAUUUCAAAUAUGGAAUCCUUCAUCUUUAAAUUUUGUGAAACACAUUAAUACUCACUACAGAGGAGGCAAUAGAGCUCAGCUGUGUUUUGUAACAACUGAUGUGGACUGAAAUAUCCAGAUCCAAAUCCAAUCCAUACUGAAAGCUGCCACUGAAUUGUUGAAGAGAAGGGCACGCCAGGGAGUGUCAAAUGCAGGCUGCUCCACAAAUUAUGAAGAGCAGGAAAUGAGGGAAGCACCAAGGAAGCCAGAGCAAUAUCCUCACAUGCAAGGAGUCCAGAUGUUGAACCAGAAGCAUCAGGGUCAGAAUUAGGUCCAGAAAAAUGGUUCAGAGAACAGCUACAAGCCAGUCAUCAUGCAGCAAGUCCAUUAUGAUGAGUCAGAGUCGGGGUUAGGGAGGUUGGGACCAAACACAUAUGUACCUGGCAGAGUUGUAAUGUAGCUCAGAUGGGAACUAAGCCAGAAAGCCUCAGACUUGAAAGAGGCUCCUGGGGAAAAGGAAGGUCUGACCCUCACUUGUAGUUCAACUGUUGUCAUUGAAGGAGUUGGCCUCGGCCUUAUCCUGCAGAACUCUUUAAUUUGCUUGCAGAAGGGGAGAUGCUCUCAGAAUACUGACAGGAAGAAUUUUAUAUUCUCUUGAGACAAUGGGUUAUUUAACAAAGCAGAAGAGACCGUAUCAAGCCGAGAAAGUCACAUUUGUAUACUUGAAGAAGACCCAGACUUAUUUUAAUUAAGAAAUAUAGCCAGAGAGUUUCCUGGGUGAAAAUGAAUAAAAAGAACUUCGGACUGACACUAAAUCUUUCUGAUCUGCCUGAAAAACUGAAAUGAGAACAUGUUAAAUGAGGUAAGAAGCUCCUCCAAGAUGAAUAUCUGUGGGAAUCCUCUGAGGACAAAGUUCUGGAAAGUGUUCUGUGAAGGAAAGGACAUUCUUUAUCAUGGAUGGGUACUUUUAUUGAUCUCCAAAUACAAAUGCAAUGUUUGGUGCAAUACUGAAUUCAUGACUACCAUCUUGUUUUGCAGCAAGUCACCUGAAGUGAGAGAAAGACUGAAGGAGAGAUUUUUAAGAGGUAGUCAUGAUAUAAGUAGAUUAGAUAUGAUUUUCUUUUCUUUGUUCCUCUCUAUUUUAAUAAAACUUAUUACUCUAUUGCCUGCUUUGGCUGGUAUGAAUAAAUGUUCUUGUUUACAUU
This is a long non-coding RNA of Gallus gallus (chicken), 1265 nucleotides long. The record is from Ensembl. Lineage: Eukaryota; Metazoa; Chordata; Aves; Galliformes; Phasianidae.